UAUCUCUGUAGAGUCUGCAUAUCAAUAAGCGGAGGAAAAGAAACUAACAAGGAUUCCCCUAGUAACGGCGAGUGAAGCGGGAAGAGCUCAAAUUUGAAAUCUUCAAGGUUCUGACCUUGACGAAUUGUAGUUUAAAGAAGUGUUUUCGGUUAGAGGAGUAGUAAAAGUUCUUUGGAAUAGGACAUCAUAGAGGGUGAGAAUCCCGUAUUUGACUAUUCUUUCUAGCUUUGUGAUACACUUUCAAAGAGUCGGAUUGUUUGGGAAUGCAGUCCAAAAUGGGUGGUAAAUUUCAUCUAAAGCUAAAUAUUGGCGAGAGACCGAUAGCGAACAAGUACCGUGAGGGAAAGAUGAAAAGAACUUUGAAAAGAGAGUUAAACAGUACGUGAAAUUGUCAAAAGGGAUAGCGUUUGACACCAGUGUUGUUUUUCCGAAAAUCAAUUACGAAUGUUUUGUUUUUGAGGAGUUAUGACUUCAUCGGCUUGCUCCUUUCUUUACGAAACUUUCUUAAUGCACUUUUCGGUUAACAAGUCAACAUCAAUUUCUUUUGUUGUAAAAGGGUAUGAGGAAGGUGGCUUUCUUUUCGGAGAAAGUGUUUAUAGCCUUGUACCUCUGCAAUCGGAGAGAUUGAGGUCUGCAGCGUAGAUCCUUCGGGGUUAGAUACAUUUGUGCUAAGUUAUAGCUUUUCAUAGACAACUUGUUGACUAUGUUUAGUCUUGUAGCUUACUCGCUUAUGCUAUUUUACCUACGCUUAGGAUGUUGAGCGCAUGUCUCUCUCU
Molecule: ribosomal RNA, 776 nt
Filed under: uncultured Neocallimastigales
Lineage: Eukaryota; Fungi; Neocallimastigomycota; Neocallimastigomycetes; Neocallimastigales
Description: partial large subunit ribosomal RNA
Rfam family: Eukaryotic large subunit ribosomal RNA
Source: RNAcentral